CUACAGCAAGGUUCCGAUAGCAGAAAACUCUAGGGUUCAAAUGUUCUUCAAAUUUCUAUCAAUUUUCACCUAGAACCUUUGUUUUUUUUCCAGGUACAAGUGUUCAGGGUCAUCAACAUGUGCUUCUUUGAGAUUACUUGCAUUUCCAGUUAGCUUUGAUUAGCCUCCUUUCUUUUCAGAGGAUUUCAUAUUUAUUUUCCUGUUAUUGUUGAGUUGUCGUGGAUUUUUUUCCGACAUGUAUCCUAGUAUUAGAGGCUUCAUAGACAACUAGAGUUGAUGAGUCUCUAGUGUAUUCCUCUUUUUUUAGAUCUUGAGACUAGUGAGCUUAGUUAUGCAUUUAAAGUUCCCUAUUCCCUUGAGUAAGUCUUCCUCUAAGUAGUCAGUCAUGCAGAGGAUUUACUUUGGGACCAACGAUGGUUCUCGAAUAUCGAUCAUGUCAGCAUGUAGACUCUCGACAUAACAUAUUUAUCUUAUGUGUUGAAUUCCUUUUA
Molecule: long non-coding RNA, 491 nt
Organism: Solanum lycopersicum (tomato)
Lineage: Eukaryota; Viridiplantae; Streptophyta; Magnoliopsida; Solanales; Solanaceae
Source: RefSeq, a predicted model, not a curated record